UGGGGAAUAUUGCGCAAUGGGCGAAAGCCUGACGCAGCAACGCCGCGUGGGUGAUGAAGGUCUUCGGAUUGUAAAACCCUGUCGUCAGGAACGAAGAUUGCUAAUCUAAUAAAUUUGCAAUUUGACGGUACCUGGAAAGGAAGCCCCGGCUAACUCUGUGCCAGCAGCCGCGGUAAUACAGAGGGGGCAAGCGUUAUUCGGAAUUAUUGGGCGUAAAGGGCGCGUAGGUGGUAUGUUAAGUGAGAUGUGUAAUCCCUGAGCUUAACUUAGGAAUUGCAUCUCAGACUGGUAUGCUAGAGUGCUGGAGAGGGUGGUAGAAUUCCACGUGUAGCGGUGAAAUGCGUAGAGAUGUGGAGGAAUACCGGUGGCGAAGGCGGCCACCUGGACAGUAACUGACGCU
Molecule: ribosomal RNA, 400 nt
Filed under: uncultured bacterium
Lineage: Bacteria
Description: bacterial SSU rRNA
Rfam family: Bacterial small subunit ribosomal RNA
Source: RNAcentral